This 73-nucleotide transfer RNA is filed under the name Canis lupus familiaris (dog). It matches the Rfam family "tRNA". Rfam says of the family: Transfer RNA (tRNA) molecules are approximately 80 nucleotides in length. Their secondary structure includes four short double-helical elements and three loops (D, anti-codon, and T loops). Lineage: Eukaryota; Metazoa; Chordata; Mammalia; Carnivora; Canidae. RNAcentral also lists the same sequence under 1 other name. The record is from Rfam by way of RNAcentral.
ACCUGGUUGGCUCAGUCAGUAGAGCAUGAGACUCUUGAUCUCAGGGUUGUGAAUUCAAGCCCCACAUUGUGCG